Rhincodon typus (whale shark) is the source of this 1484-nucleotide long non-coding RNA. RefSeq lists it as uncharacterized. Lineage: Eukaryota; Metazoa; Chordata; Chondrichthyes; Orectolobiformes; Rhincodontidae. The transcript has 4 exons. The record is from RefSeq and is a predicted model, not a curated record.
UUUUAAAUUCAAAUUCCAAUGCAGUGAUCUAGACACAAUCCCAAUAUGUCAACGCCUUCCCAUUUCAUCUUUAUAACAUCUACUUCUGAAUUUAUGUGCAGCUGACCGUUUACCCCCUGCAUUCCAUGUCAGAAUUUUAAAGAAAUAGUAGGAACUGCAGAUGCUGGAGUCAGAGUCAACACAGUGUGGAGCUGGAGGAACACAGUAGAUAUUUCUGCCAUCUUUGGGGUUUUUGUUGGCCUGCUCACAUCUCUGUCACUGUGAACACAAUAAUCUGGCCAAAUGAUUCACCUCGAGGCGUGCGGUCUUCAACUAAACUUGGAACCUGUUGGUCGCUCGGCGGUGAAACCAUCCACUGGCUCCGUGGAUUCACAUGAUAUGCAGCACCAAAGUGAAAUGAGAAGCGCAGCACCGUUCCCAAGGAUUGUCUGCUUUCGUCAACAUCAAAGGCACCACUCCUCUCAAAGACCGAAAUUCGCCAACCGUUCAAAACGGGCAAGGUCUACUGGCUGAACGAGCUCAACCCAAGGAAAUCAUGCUGGACCCAGCAAUGAGUUUCACGUUCAAAUCACAGGAUCAUUACAAUGUAAAAAGAAGCCAUUCAGCCCAUCGAGUCUGCGAGGCUUUCCGAGCAUUUUAACUUCGUUAAAAGUCUUCUGUUGUUUCCUCAUAACCCUGCCCAUUGUUUCUGUUAAAUAAACGUCUAACUCCCUCUUGAGUACCUCAGUAAAACUUGCCUCCGCCAUAAUUUCAAGUAGUGCCUUCCAUAUCCUAAUUACUCGCUGUGUUGAAAAGUUUUUCCUCGGCUCGUAAUUGCUUCUUUUGCAAAACACCUUUGAAGUGUACCCUGUGGUUCUCGAUCAUUUUCUAAGUGGGAACUAUUUCUCCCUAUCUACUCUGUCAACAUGCCUCGAUUUUCAAAACUUCUAUCAAAUCUUCGUUUGCCUUCUCCUCACCAAGGAGACCAGUUCUAAUUUUGUCAGUCUAUCCUCAGAAGUGAAAUGUUACAUCCCUGGAACUAUUCUCAUAAACCUCUUCUGCACUCUCUCGAUUGCAUUCACAGCUUCAAGCCCAGAACUGUUCACACUGCUGCAGCUGAGAUCUAACCUUUGCCUUAAAUAAAUCCAUAAGAAUCACCCUGCUCUUGCACUUUAUCUCCCCUAUUUACGAAGACUAGAAUACUGUACUUUUAAAUAACGGCUCCCUCCAUCACCUUUAAUGACUUACACACACGUACACGCAGGUCACACUGCUCCUGCACAUCCUGUAGAAUUUUAUUUAAUUUUAUAUCCCUUUAUUUUACACUCGCCGUGUUUCUCCUGGAUUUCCUUUUAGGAUUAUUUGUGACUCAUACUUAUUCUGGUCCUGGCCUUCCAGAUCAGAAACAUUUUCUGAUAGCAACCUUUUCAUAAUUAUAAAGAGCUUUUUUAGUUUUGUUCUCAAUGUUGCAGUUUCAACACAAAUGAAAUGAUCACUUUGAGUCU